CGUUUGUCUGUGGGCAAUUUGAAACCUGUGAUUCGAUCGUUCCGUGGUACCGUGGUUCAGUCAGUUCAAUGACAGUUUGCCAUUCCGAUUUAAUAAUAAUAAUAUAAUAUUAUAAUUUUAUUUACACUUCCAAGGGCACAGGUGGUGGUGUGCGAGGCUGAACAGUUAGGUGAGAUCCUACGCGGAGCGCAUGUCAGUCGUGAUGGGCAGCGUACCAGACGGCAUCUCGUACGAGGUAUUUCAAGAAUUCAAGAGGGCCGAGUUUCAGCUAAAGCUUUCCCGGACACGCUACCUGGAGGCAAAGAUUCUGAGGGAAGCCUGGACAGAAAUCUGCCUUCCGGACUACAAAAUGGAGGGAGCAUCGUCAGAGGAACAGGAAGAGGAGUUCCAUCGAGAGUUUCGGCGCCUGCGAGAUGCUGUUCUGCUCACGGAGCAGCCACUGCCGGGUUUGGCUCCCCCUCCGAGCCGUCCCCCAAGCAAU
This is a long non-coding RNA of Ixodes scapularis (black-legged tick), 481 nucleotides long. RefSeq lists it as uncharacterized. The record is from RefSeq and is a predicted model, not a curated record. The transcript is spliced from 3 exons. NCBI's taxonomy places the organism in Eukaryota, Metazoa, Arthropoda, Arachnida, Ixodida, Ixodidae.